CCUACGGGUGGCAGCAGUGAGGAAUAUUGGUCAAUGGGCGCGAGCCUGAUCCAGCCAUGUAGCGUGAAGGAUGACUGCCCUCCGGGUUGUAAACUCUUUUUAUAAGGGAAUAAAGUGAGGCACGUGUGCCUUUUUCUACGUACUUUAUGAAUAAGGAUAGGCUAACUCCGUGCCAGCAGCCGCGGUAAUACGGAGGAUCCGAGCGUUAUCCGGAUUUAUUGGGUUUAAAGGGAGCGUAGAUGGGUUGUUAAGUCAGUUGUGAAAGUUUGCGGCUCAACCGUAAAAGUGCAAUUGAUACUGGCAGUCUUGAGUACAGUAGAGGUAGGCGGAAUUCGUGGUGUAGCGGUGAAAUGCUUAGAUAUGAGGAAGAACUCCGAUUGCGAAGGCAGCUUACUAAACUGCCACUGACAUUGAUGCUCGAAAGUGUGGGUAGCAAACAGGAUUAGAUACCCCUGUAGUC
RNAcentral lists this ribosomal RNA (460 nucleotides) under uncultured bacterium. RNAcentral describes it as "partial 16S ribosomal RNA". It matches the Rfam family "Bacterial small subunit ribosomal RNA", at positions 338 to 795 of the family's 1533-position model. The record is from RNAcentral.